This 301-nucleotide ribosomal RNA is filed under the name uncultured bacterium. RNAcentral describes it as "partial 16S ribosomal RNA". It matches the Rfam family "Bacterial small subunit ribosomal RNA", at positions 509 to 807 of the family's 1533-position model. The record is from RNAcentral.
CAGUCGCCGCGGUAAUACGAAGGGGGCUAGCGUUGUUCGGAUUUACUGGGCGUAAAGCGCACGUAGGCGGAUCGAUCAGUCAGGGGUGAAAUCCCAGAGCUCAACUCUGGAACUGCCUUUGAUACUGUCGAUCUGGAGUAUGGAAGAGGUGAGUGGAAUUCCGAGUGUAGAGGUGAAAUUCGUAGAUAUUCGCAGGAACACCAGUGGCGAAGGCGGCUCACUGGCUCGAUACUGACGCUGAGGUGCGAAAGCGUGGGGAGCAAACAGGAUUAGAUACCCCGGUAGUCCCUGUCUCUUAUAC